AACGAACGCUGGCGGCAUGCCUAACACAUGCAAGUCGAACGAGACCUUCGGGUCUAGUGGCGCACGGGUGCGUAACGCGUGGGAACCUGCCCUUAGGUUCGGAAUAACUCCCCGAAAGGGUGCUAAUACCGGAUAAUGUCUUCGGACCAAAGAUUUAUCGCCUUUGGAUGGGCCCGCGUUGGAUUAGCUAGUUGGUAGGGUAAAAGCCUACCAAGGCGACGAUCCAUAGCUGGUCUGAGAGGAUGAUCAGCCACACCGGGACUGAGACACGGCCCAGACUCCUACGGGAGGGAGGAGUGGGGAAUAUUGGAAAAUGGGCGAAAGCCUGAUCCAGCAAUGCCGCGUGAGUGAUGAAGGCCUUAGGGUUGUAAAGCUCUUUUACCCGGGAUGAUAAUGACAGUACCGGGAGAAUAAGCUCCGGCUAACUCCGUG
RNAcentral lists this ribosomal RNA (432 nucleotides) under uncultured bacterium. RNAcentral describes it as "partial 16S ribosomal RNA". It matches the Rfam family "Bacterial small subunit ribosomal RNA", at positions 29 to 507 of the family's 1533-position model. The record is from RNAcentral.